Molecule: small RNA, 77 nt
Filed under: Xanthomonas oryzae pv. oryzicola
Lineage: Bacteria; Pseudomonadati; Pseudomonadota; Gammaproteobacteria; Lysobacterales; Lysobacteraceae
Description: sX9 sRNA
Rfam family: Xanthomonas sRNA sX9
Source: RNAcentral
AUGUACCACGCGUCCACUGCGGUUCUGAGCGCACCGUCCGCGCCCGCCUGGCGGCGGCUCGCUACGUUUUGUUAGCU